Molecule: ribosomal RNA, 253 nt
Filed under: uncultured bacterium
Lineage: Bacteria
Description: partial 16S ribosomal RNA
Rfam family: Bacterial small subunit ribosomal RNA
Source: RNAcentral
UACGGAGGGUGCAAGCGUUGUCCGGAAUCACUGGGCGUAAAGGGCGCGUAGGCGGCCUGGUAAGUAGGGGGUGAAAUCCUGCGGCUUAACCGCAGGGCUGCCUUCUAAACUGUCAGGCUUGAGCACGGUAGAGGCAGAUGGAAUUCCCGGUGUAGCGGUGGAAUGCGUAGAGAUCGAGAAGAACAUCAGUGGCGAAGGCGGUCUGCUGGGCCGUUGCUGACGCUGAGGCGCGACAGCGUGGGGAGCAAACAGG